AAAGUCGUAACAAGGUUUCCGUAGGUGAACCUGCGGAAGGAUCAUUAUUGAAUAAACCUGACGGGUUGUCGCUGACUCCUAACGGAUUAUGUGCACACUUGUCAUCUUUAUCCAUCCACCUGUGCACCUUUUGUAGUCUUGGAGGAAAUAAGCACGAAAAUGUCGAGGGAAUACCAAUUCGUUGGUCCCUCGGGAAAUGAGGCCUGCCACGCGAGAGCAUGGCUGACCUUGAAGUUUGCGCAAGUUUCUCCGAGUCUAUGUCUUUCAUAUACCACGUAAAAACACUUAGAAUGUAUUUACUAGGCCUCAGUGCCUAUAAAACACAAUACAACUUUCAGCAACGGAUCUCUUGGCUCUC
RNAcentral lists this unclassified non-coding RNA (358 nucleotides) under Basidiomycota sp. RNAcentral's name for it is "partial contains small subunit ribosomal RNA, internal transcribed spacer 1, and 5.8S ribosomal RNA". The stretch from base 1 to 47 matches the Rfam family "Eukaryotic small subunit ribosomal RNA", at positions 1785 to 1831 of the family's 1831-position model. Lineage: Eukaryota; Fungi; Basidiomycota. The record is from RNAcentral.